This 313-nucleotide ribosomal RNA is filed under the name uncultured Bacteroidales bacterium. RNAcentral describes it as "partial 16S ribosomal RNA". Lineage: Bacteria; Pseudomonadati; Bacteroidota; Bacteroidia; Bacteroidales. The record is from RNAcentral.
GGAGUCUGGACCGUGUCUCAGUUCCAAUGUGGGGGACCUUCCUCUCAGAACCCCUAACCAUCGUCGGCACGGUGGGCCGUUACCCCGCCGUCUACCUAAUGGUACGCGAGCCAAUCCGUAUGCAAUGAAUCUUUCAAUAUCCCUCCAUGCAGAGGAAUAUGUUACGGGGUAUUACGCGACGUUUCCAUCGACUAUCCCCCACAUACGGGCAUGUUGCUCACGCGUUACUCACCCUUUCGCCGGUCGCCGCCAGGUAUUGCUACCCGCGCUGCCCCUCGACUUGCAUGUGUUAAGCCUGUAGCUAGCGUUCAUC